AUUGAACGCUGGCGGCAUGCCUUACACAUGCAAGUCGAACGGUAACAGGUUAAGCUGACGAGUGGCGAACGGGUGAGUAAUAUAUCGGAACGUGCCCAGUCGUGGGGGAUAACGUAGCGAAAGCUACGCUAAUACCGCAUACGAUCUACGGAUGAAAGCGGGGGAUCGCAAGACCUCGCGCGAUUGGAGCGGCCGAUAUCAGAUUAGCUAGUUGGGUAGGUAAAGGCUCACCAAGGCGACGAUCUGUAGCUGGUCUGAGAGGACGAACAGCCACACUGGAACUGAGACACGGUCCAGACGCCUACGGGAGGCAGCAGUGGGGAAUUUUGGACAAUGGGCGCAAGCCUGAUCCAGCAAUGCCGCGUGCAGGACGAAGGCCUUCGGGUUGUAAACUGCUUUUGUACGGAGCGAAACGGUCUUCUCUAAUACAGGGGGCUAAUGACGGUACCGUAAGAAUAAGCACCGGCUAACUACGUGCCAGCAGCCGCCGCCG
RNAcentral lists this ribosomal RNA (493 nucleotides) under uncultured bacterium. RNAcentral describes it as "partial 16S ribosomal RNA". It matches the Rfam family "Bacterial small subunit ribosomal RNA", at positions 30 to 523 of the family's 1533-position model. The record is from RNAcentral.